AACGAACGCUGGCGGCAUGCCUAACACAUGCAAGUCGAACGAGACCUUCGGGUCUAGUGGCGCACGGGUGCGUAACGCGUGGGAACCUGCCCUUAGGUUCGGAAUAACUCCCCGAAAGGGGUGCUAAUACCGGAUAAUGUCUUCGGACCAAAGAUUUAUCGCCUUUGGAUGGGCCCGCGUUGGAUUAGCUAGUUGGUAGGGUAAAAGCCUACCAAGGCGACGAUCCAUAGCUGGUCUGAGAGGAUGAUCAGCCACACUGGGACUGGGACACGGCCCAGACUCCUGCGGGAGGCAGCAGUGGGGAAUAUUGGACGAUGGGCGAAAGCCUGAUCCAGCAAUGCCGCGUGAGUGAUGAAGGCCUUAGGGUUGUAAAGCUCUUUUACCCGGGAUGAUAAUGACAGUACCGGGAGAAUAAGCUCCGGCUAACUCCGUG
This 433-nucleotide ribosomal RNA is filed under the name uncultured bacterium. Its description in RNAcentral is "partial 16S ribosomal RNA". It matches the Rfam family "Bacterial small subunit ribosomal RNA", at positions 29 to 507 of the family's 1533-position model. The record is from RNAcentral.